GUCGAACGGUAACAGGUCUUCGGAUGCUGACGAGUGGCGAACGGGUGAGUAAUACAUCGGAACGUGCCCGAGAGUGGGGGAUAACGAAGCGAAAGCUUUGCUAAUACCGCAUACGAUCUCAGGAUGAAAGCAGGGGACCGCAAGGCCUUGCGCUCACGGAGCGGCCGAUGGCAGAUUAGGUAGUUGGUGGGAUAAAAGCUUACCAAGCCGACGAUCUGUAGCUGGUCUGAGAGGACAACCAGCCACACUGGGACUGAGACACGGCCCAGACUCCUACGGGAGGCAGCAGUGGGGAAUUUUGGACAAUGGGCGCAAGCCUGAUCCAGCCAUGCCGCGUGCAGGAUGAAGGCCUUCGGGUUGUAAACUGCUUUUGUACGGAACGAAAAGACUCUGGUUAAUACCUGGGGUCCAUGACGGUACCGUAAGAAUAAGCACCGGCUAACUACGUGCCAGCAGCCGCGGUAAUACGUAGGGUGCGAGCGUUAAUCGGAAUUACUGGGCGUAAAGCGUGCGCAGGCGGUUAUGUAAGACAGAUGUGAAAUCCCCGGGCUCAACCUGGGAACUGCAUUUGUGACUGCAUAGCUAGAGUACGGCAGAGGGGGAUGGAAUUCCGCGUGUAGCAGUGAAAUGCGUAGAUAUGC
RNAcentral lists this ribosomal RNA (641 nucleotides) under uncultured beta proteobacterium. RNAcentral's name for it is "bacterial SSU rRNA". It matches the Rfam family "Bacterial small subunit ribosomal RNA", at positions 61 to 699 of the family's 1533-position model. Lineage: Bacteria; Pseudomonadati; Pseudomonadota; Betaproteobacteria. The record is from RNAcentral.